AGAGUUUGAUCAUGGCUCAGGAUGAACGCUAGCUACAGGCUUAACACAUGCAAGUCGAAAAAGGGGAACGACAUCGAAAGCUUGCUUUUGAUGGGCGUCGACCGGCGCACGGGUGAGUAACGCGUAUCCAACCUGCCCACCACUUGGGGAUAACCUUGCGAAAGUAAGACUAAUACCCAAUGAUAUCUCUAGAAGACAUCUGAAAGAGAUUAAAGAUUUAUCGGUGAUGGAUGGGGAUGCGUCUGAUUAGCUUGUUGGCGGGGUAACGGCCCACCAAGGCAACGAUCAGUAGGGGUUCUGAGAGGAAGGUCCCCCACAUUGGAACUGAGACACGGUCCAAACUCCUACGGGAGGCAGCA
Molecule: ribosomal RNA, 359 nt
Filed under: uncultured bacterium
Lineage: Bacteria
Description: bacterial SSU rRNA
Rfam family: Bacterial small subunit ribosomal RNA
Source: RNAcentral